Molecule: ribosomal RNA, 253 nt
Filed under: uncultured bacterium
Lineage: Bacteria
Description: partial 16S ribosomal RNA
Rfam family: Bacterial small subunit ribosomal RNA
Source: RNAcentral
UACAGAGGUCCCGAGCGUUGUUCGGAUUCAUUGGGCGUAAAGGGUGCGUAGGCGGCGCGGCACGUCUGCUGUGAAAUCCCGGGGCUCAACCCCGGAACUGCAUUGGAUACUGCCUUGCUUGAGUACUGGAGAGGGAACUGGAAUUUACGGUGUAGCAGUGAAAUGCGUAGAGAUCGUAAGGAAGGCCAGUGGCGAAGGCGAGUUCCUGGACAGUUACUGACGCUGAGGCACGAAGGCCAGGGGAGCAAACGGG